GGCUUAGAGUUUGAUCAUGGCUCAGGAUAAACGCUGGCGGCGCACAUAAGACAUGCAAGUCGAACGGACUUAACUCGAAGUUUACUUUGAGAGCGGUUAGUGGCGGACUGGUGAGUAACACGUAAGCAACCUGCCUAUCAGAGGGGAAUAACAGUGAGAAAUCAUUGCUAAUACCGCAUAUGCUUACACUAUCGCAUGAUAGAGUAAGGAAAGGAGCAAUCUGCUGAUAGAUGGGCUUGCGUCUGAUUAGCUAGUUGGUGAGGUAACGGCUUACCAAGGCGACGAUCAGUAGCCGGACUGAGAGGUUGAACGGCCACAUUGGGACUGAGAUACGGCCCAGACUCCUACGGGAGGCAGCAGUCGGGAAUAUUGCGCAAUGGAGGAAACUCUGACGCAGUGACGCCGCGUAUAGGAAGAAGGUUUUCGGAUUGUAAACUAUUGUCGUUAGGGAAGAUACAAGACAGUACCUAAGGAGGAAGCACCGGCUAACUAUGUGCCAGCAGCCGCGGUAAUACAUAGGGUGCGAGCGUUAUCCGGAAUUAUUGGGUGUAAAGGGUGCGUAGAUGGGAAGACAAGUUAGUUGUGAAAUCCCUCGGCUCAACUGAGGAACUGCAACUAAAACUAUCUUUCUUGAGUGUCGGAGAGGAAAGU
This 651-nucleotide ribosomal RNA is filed under the name uncultured organism. RNAcentral describes it as "bacterial SSU rRNA". It matches the Rfam family "Bacterial small subunit ribosomal RNA", at positions 1 to 662 of the family's 1533-position model. The record is from RNAcentral.